Molecule: ribosomal RNA, 1099 nt
Filed under: uncultured organism
Description: bacterial SSU rRNA
Rfam family: Bacterial small subunit ribosomal RNA
Source: RNAcentral
AGUCGAACGGUAGUAAGUUGCUUGCACCUUAUGAGAGUGGCGAACGGGUGAGUAACACGUAGUGUGAUCUACCGCAAAGUUGGGGAUAGCCUGUGGGAACACAGGGUAAUACCGGAUAAUUCUUAUUGUUGACGGACGAUAAGGGAAAGGGGCCACGGCCCUGCUUUUCGAAGAGCCUGCGUUCCAUUAGUUAGUUGGCAGGGUAACGGCCUACCAAGGCGACGAUGGAUAGCCGGUCUGAGAGGGUGACCGGACACACUGAGACUGAGACACGGCCCAGACGCCUACGAGACGCAGCAGCUAAGAAUCUUCCGCAAUGCGCGAAAGCCUGACGGAGCGACGCCGUGUGGACAAAGAAGGCCGGAAGGUUGUAACGUCCUUUUCUCGAUGAAGAAUAAGGCAGCGAGGGACAUGCGCUGUCGAUGACGUUAGGUUGAGGAAUAAGCCCCGUGCUAAUUACGUGCCAGCAGCCGCGGGUAACACGUAAGGCGCGAGCGUAGUUCGGAGAUUAUUGGGCGUAAAGGGCGCUUAGGCGGCUUGGCAAGCCUGGUGUGCAAAGGCCACAGUUUAACUGUGGGAGUGCGCUGGGAACUGCCUAGCUAGAGUUUCGGAGGGCAAGCUGGAAUUCCUGACGUAGGGGUGACAUCUGAUAGAUAUCAGGAAAGCAACAUCUGUGGCGACGGCGAGCUUCUGGCCGGAAACUGACGCUUGAGGCGCGAAAGCGUGGGGAGCGAACAGGAUUAGAAUACCCUGGAAGUCCACGCAGUAAACGAUGUGCACUAGGUGUUGACUGUGAUAACGGUCAGCGCCGAAGCAGACGCGAUAAGUGCACCGCCUGGGGAGUAUGCUCGCAAGGGUGAAACUCAAAGGAAUUGACGGGGCACAGCACAAGCGGUGGAGCAUGUGGUUUAAAUUCGAUGAUACGCGAGGAACCUUACCAGGGUUUGACAUAUGGCGGACUGCGGCAGAGACGUCGCGUCCCUUCGGGGCCGUCAUACAGGUGCUGCAUGGCUGUCGUCAGCUCGUGCUGUGAGCUGUUGGAUUAAGUCCCGCAACGAGCGCAACCCCUGCUGUCUGUUACCAGCACGUAAUGGUGGGG